ACGGGCGGACGGGCGAACGGGGUGGGACCGGUGGAGGCUCUCCGGCUGGGGUGCCUCGGGGUGCCUCUCGAAGGCCCAGCGCAGCCUGGACACGGUUCUGGCGGUGCCGGGGGAGGGAGAUGGGGAGGGGACGGUGACGGUGACGGAGAGGAGGUUGGGGUUGGGGCGGCGCACGUGAGGCGGUCCCCGAACCGCAGAGGUCGCUGCGCCCACCUCUGACGCCGUCCGUGCUCGGGGGCAGAGCAGUGCGCUCCCGCGCCGCGUCCCUUCUGUGCGGCCCGGAGCGCGGAGUCCAGGUCACCCGCCAGCCAUCACUCAUUGCCUCAAAACAGCACCCGCCGUGUGCCAGGUGCCCCAGGUGCCAUGAUGGAAACAGGCGCGUGCAUUGAAGAGUCGUUGCCACACUACCUGUCUUCACACUCACUUGGGCAACCUUAAAAAAAAAGUCAUUCAAUUCUAUUUACAAAAUGCCAUCCUGAUCCUGAUAAUCCUAUAGACCGUCCACGUGGGUUGCCAUGUUGUGGUAAAGUCCCAGCGUGCGACGUGGCAGAGAACUGAUGUCUUUGGCCAAAGGCCACCCAGGGCCUGAGGCCUGUCCACAGACAGGAGAGUGAGCUUGGAGCCCGUAUCAGUUUCCUGCAGCUGCUAUAACAAAUUGCCACAAACACAGUGGCUUACAACAACAGAAACUCUCUUACAAUUCUGAGGCCACAAGCCCAAGGCCAGUUUCACGGGGCUAAGGUGGUGGUGUUGCUGGGGUCAUGCUCCCUCAAGAGACUCUGGACAGAAUCCUUCUGCUCGCCUUGUCCAGCUUCGAGAGCUGCGUUCCUUGCUCUCUUUAGCUCGUGGCCCCUUCCUCCACCUCCAGAGCUGGCAGCGUGGUCCCUUCCGAUCUGCUCCUUCUUUGCUUUGCCUCCCUCUCAUGAGGACACCUGUGAUGGCGUCUGGGGCCCACGGGGACAACCCAGGGUCACCUUCCAGUCUCAGUCUGUAGUGUGCCCAGACCUACAAAGACCCCUUUCUCCAUUUAAAGAACCUGACACCAGAGGAAGGAGGGUGAAACUAAGAGAAAACAAGAGCCUUAUCUGGGGUCUCAGAAUGACACCUGCGAGAGCACCGAUCCCAGAGUGACCAGAAAAAGUGUCCCGCUUGGGUAGGGAAAGCAAGGGGGGUUUUAUGAGAAAGAAGAAGAAUCUCCUAUUUAGAUAAACCAGAGAAGAGAGAAAACCUGUUAAUUCCGUGCUAACCAGCUGAGCAGUUUUCAAUCACCGCCUAAUCGAUUCUUCUCUGCCUGCAACCAGGCUCAGUGUUUCAUAGCCUAGAAAGUGGGGUGCUGUCAACACAAACUGUUCCUGGCCUGCAUUAGUUAACUCUUUGCUCUUCCUAAAGUUCUAUCAGCAGUUUUGUGGUCGAAGGCCAGUCGUUCUACAGGAUGUGAUGAACGACUGCUUGUGAAACAAUUACAGAUGCUGGCCUGGUUUGAGAGCUCAUUGGUUAGAAAGUGAAAUGGAGCCUCAUCAUGGAGCCUCUCAUGGGCAGGGAGUUUGUACGGGUCCACGUCGCUUUCGCCGGCACCAGGGAUUAGAGCCUGGCUAUUUGGGGGGCCGUUAUGCAGCCCACCACAGAAGCUGGACCAGCUCUGUGAGACCUCCCCCCACCCCCCCCCCCCCACACACACGCACAGCCAGAGGCACCUGCCAGGGCCCAUGUGAAUUCCUGACCCGAAGAAACCGAGAGAGGAAAUUUCGGGGGUAAGACUUGGGAUAAUUUGUGAGGUGACAAUAGAUAACCCACACACAUGUCACUGAGUGUGACCAAAGGGGCAUUGGAGGCCCUCCCCGCAACCAGGGGUAGAAACAAGAAGGGGGAAUCCGGAUUUGUUUAUCCCACCGGGUGAUACCUCUUCAUGAAUACCCUUCGGCCUCAUCACUGCGGCACUGAUGGAAGGGAUCACCACCCCCCUCACUGCCGCCCCUGUGAGCAUCGGGGGGGGUGUAAAGACAGGGUUGUGGAUCCGUGCACCGUCAGCCCAGACUGGGGUUACAGCAUGUGUCACCUGCCGGGGCAGUCCUGCAGCACCAGGGCCAGAGAAGGGAAAAGUCUGAGAGACGGACUAUACUCACACGGCGGCCAGACCAUCCGUAAAAACAGAGCUCUUGCAACAAUCUGUUCUCUGCUGUAACCGGCCCCAGGGGCCAGCCUCCUGGAAGUCAGACUUGCAGAAGGCAGACCGUUUCCUACCCACGAUCUCGAAAGUGAAGCAACCACCUCUACAGCGACUCGCCCCCAGGUGACCAGGGUUUGCUGAAUAACUGACAGCUUCCCUCAAAUUGUGUCCCUAUUUCUGAUUUAGGACCCACCAGAGAAAGCCGGAUAUUAAUGCCUAACCAGCCACAGGGGACGUCUGCUUCUAGCUCGCUGCCCUCAGCCCCCACCCACGGCUCAUACGGAGCCUUCUCCCUGCCUGUGAGGCUUUGCCCAAACCCCCGAGCGACGCUGGCUGACCUCCUGCUCCUCGUCGUCAUCAGCUCUCACUAAAUACCUUUGCUCCUUCCCCCUUGGGUGGUCUUCCUCUAUUUCCGCACUUGUUAGGCACAAAACGCCAGCCCACAGGCGUAUUGCAGGAGGAAACGUACGUGUGUGCUUAUGUGUGCCUGUGUGUGUGAGCGAGUGAGUGACCCCGGGAUAAGAAGGGAGAGCAGAGAACACGCCUGUUCCUUUACUCCCGUGUUUUGUGCAACGAAGGCCCCCCACGGAUGUAGGGGCGGGUGUGGCAACAGGCAAAGCCGGUCUCCCCUGGCUUCUGUCAGCUCAGCUGGACCACAUUUCCCAGCCUGCCUUGCAGUCCGGUGAGGCCCUAGGCCUGAGGCCUGCCUCUGGAAUGUGGGAGGAAGCGAGGCACACAGCUCCCGAGCCUGGCUCCUGGAAACUUCCAGGAAUCCUCUACACUCUCCCGUUCCUCACCUGCUGGUCAGAUGCAGAGGGUCUGGUGGGGACUCGAAGGAGCCGGCGAUGGUGGGGCCAUGAGGUAGAAGGAUGCUGGUGGCCCAGGGACAGUGUGGCUCAGAACCCUGCCAGUCGGCCUAGGACAUCCGUGAUGUGAGCGAGGGGCACGGCUGGGUCGUGGUAAGCUGCGGAGGUCUUGAGGUGCUUGUGGUCGCCGUGAGCUUAUUCCGAUGGGAGCGUGGGCCCCGCACUCAGCCCCACGCUCCGACUUGCUGGGAAGCCAGGUGUGGUGGGCUACCUCUUCAGAAGCCACGUUUAAGGGCUAACCCCCGGAGCCUCUACGGACCUAGAGAGUACAGAAGAGAGGUGUUUGAUGAGCGGGAAGAGUCGCUGGAUUUGGGGACAGGUAGCUCAUAGAAAUGGUUUCACUUAAUGUUCCUAAAAUUCCCCUGAAAUUAACUAUUGCUUAGCGUGACGAAGAAAAUAAAAUUAGCCGUAAUCCUCCAAUCUAGAGAUGACCACAGGUAGGAAGCUCGA
This is a long non-coding RNA of Neofelis nebulosa (Clouded leopard), 3483 nucleotides long. RefSeq lists it as uncharacterized. The transcript is spliced from 2 exons. The record is from RefSeq and is a predicted model, not a curated record. Lineage: Eukaryota; Metazoa; Chordata; Mammalia; Carnivora; Felidae.